UUUACUCCCCGGGGAAACUAGCAUAUCAAUAAGCGGAGGAAAAGAAACCAACAGGGAUUGCCCUAGUAACGGCGAGUGAAGCGGCAACAGCUCAAAUUUGAAAUCUGGCUCUUUUAGAGUCCGAGUUGUAAUUUGCAGAGGGCGCUUUGGCUUUGGCAGCGGUCCAAGUUCCUUGGAACAGGACGUCACAGAGGGUGAGAAUCCCGUACGUGGUCGCUGGCUAUUGCCGUGUAAAGCCCCUUCGACGAGUCGAGUUGUUUGGGAAUGCAGCUCUAAAUGGGAGGUACAUUUCUUCUAAAGCUAAAUAUUGGCCAGAGACCGAUAGCGCACAAGUAGAGUGAUCGAAAGAUGAAAAGCACUUUGGAAAGAGAGUCAAACAGCACGUGAAAUUGUUGAAAGGGAAGCGCUUGCAGCCAGACUUGCUUACAGUUGCUCAUCCGGGUUUCUACCCGGUGCACUCUUCUGUAGGCAGGCCAGCAUCAGUUUGGGCGGUAGGAUAAAGGUCUCUGUCACGUACCUCCUUUCGGGGAGGCCUUAUAGGGGAGACGACAUACUACCAGCCUGGACUGAGGUCCGCGCAUCUGCUAGGAUGCUGGCGUAAUGGCUGUAAGCGGCCCGUCUUGAAACACGGACCAAGGAGUCUAACAUCUAUGCGAGUGUUUGGGUGUCAAGCCCGAGCGCGUAAUGAAAGUGAACGGAGGUGGGAACCCGCAAGGGUGCACCAUCGACCGAUCCUGAUGUCUUCGGAAGGAUUUGAGUAAGAGCAUGGCUGUUGGGACCCGAAAGAUGGUGAACUAUGCUUGAAUAGGGUGAAGCCAGAGGAAACUCUGGUGGAGGCUCGCAGCGGUUCUGACGUGCAAAUCGAUCGUCAAAUUUGGGCAUAGGGGCGAAAGACUAAUCGAACUAUCUAGUAGCUGGUUCCUGCCGAUUUUCCUCUCCCCGAAGAAAUCACAGGC
This 956-nucleotide ribosomal RNA is filed under the name Alternaria sp. Its description in RNAcentral is "partial large subunit ribosomal RNA". It matches the Rfam family "Eukaryotic large subunit ribosomal RNA", at positions 24 to 988 of the family's 3401-position model. The record is from RNAcentral. Lineage: Eukaryota; Fungi; Ascomycota; Dothideomycetes; Pleosporales; Pleosporaceae.